CCUACGAGGGGCAGCAGUGAGGAAUAUUGGUCAAUGGACGAGAGUCUGAACCAGCCAAGUAGCGUGCAGGCUGACUGCCCUAUGGGUUGUAAACUUCUUUUAUAUGGGAAUAAAACGUUUCACGUGUGGGCUUUUGUAUGUACCAUAUGAAUAAGGAUCGGCUAACUCCGUGCCAGCAGCCGCGGUACUACGGAGGAUCCGAGCGUUAUCCGGAUUUAUUGGGUUUAAAGGGAGCGGAGGUCGCUGGUUACGUGUGUUGUGAAAGGUGGCGGCUCAACCGUAAAAUUGCAGUGGCAACUGGCGGUCUUGAGUACAGGAGAGGUAGGCGGAAUUCGUGGUGUAGCGGUGAAAUGCUUAGAUAUCACGAAGAACUCCGAUUGCGAAGGCAGCUCACGGGAGUGCAACUGACACUGAGGCUAGAAAGUGUGGGUAUCGAACAGGAUUAGAUACCCGUGUAGUC
RNAcentral lists this ribosomal RNA (460 nucleotides) under uncultured bacterium. RNAcentral's name for it is "partial 16S ribosomal RNA". It matches the Rfam family "Bacterial small subunit ribosomal RNA", at positions 338 to 795 of the family's 1533-position model. The record is from RNAcentral.